AUAAUCCGCGUUGGACCUUACUUAAUUUGUUUUGUUUGUAUACCGCCGUUUUAAUGAAGAUCUUUGUAGUGUUUUAAUUUUCUGAUUUCAUUAUUUUGUUUUAUUUCAGGUCAAGGUGCAGUUUAUUGUUAAGUGUGAAGUGGAUUACAUUGUGUUGUUGAAAUUUUGGAUUGCUUAUUGUAACUCUUGGUAUGAAAGUGGAUUUGAUUGUAAUUUAUUGAAGAUUGUUUUAAUGAUGUUGGUUCUGGAGUAUGCACACAUCGCCCGUCGCUCUCAUUUUUGUUGAGAUAAGUCGUAACAUAGUGGUUGUACCGGAAGGUGUGGCUGGAUUGAU
This 334-nucleotide ribosomal RNA is filed under the name Proneotermes latifrons. Its description in RNAcentral is "12S ribosomal RNA". The record is from RNAcentral. Lineage: Eukaryota; Metazoa; Arthropoda; Insecta; Blattodea; Kalotermitidae.